CAGGAGUCAGGACGCUCGCACGGCAGUCAGUUAAUUCAAAGACGCCACCCCGCAUAGAUUACUUCCACAACCACUCUGUUUACUCGCGUUUUGAGCUUCUACCUUUUCCCUGGAUCCAUGAGCCUGAAAACACUCCUCAGCUUCUAACAUGGCUUCCACACGGACCUGUGGAAGCAACGAUUGAUAUACCGAUUUCAGAAUGGGAGAAAAAGGGAGCACAUGCUCCUACAUGGGGCAACCCUCGAUAUUUGCCAGAUAGAGAACCUGGCCAGGAUGACUUGACUGUUUCAGAGCAUUUAAAUGCUCUGAAAUGAGAGAAAUAAAAAAAAAAACGCCCUAAUUAUGAAAGGGUCUGCUUGCUGAUGUCCAAGACAUUAUCAGAGCGCAGAAAAAAAGAUAGUUCCCAUUCCAGAUUUGAAAAAAGAUUACCCAUGGCUGUUUGAUGAAGAUGAGAUUUUGUCUGAAUUCACAAGAAUUGCCGAUAUAGAUAUACAAGAAACAAUCAGAAGUGGUUGCCUGAAAGCAUCUGAAGCAGUGCUUCUCCUCAUCAAAAACAAGAAGAAAGUAUCACAGGCAGUACGGGAUAGUUACUCCAGAAUGUCAGAGCCCAAAAAUAAUGAAUCCAGAGUCGAGGUAACAUUACUAGCACUUCCAGAACUCCUCAAUGAAUCAUCCAACAGUUUCCUGGUUCAUGAAGAGGUCCAUAUAUGUGACUCGCCAGUCAUAAUAAAGAAGGAGGAGGAGUAUAUUCUCAGAAUUGACUCAGAGGAUAUUACAAGUAGCAUGACACUACCAGAGCAAUAGUGUGCUUUGUUGCCAGCUUUUAUGUAUUCAAUCUUUCAUACCAAAAGCUCUGCAGAAAAUUUUUGUCCUUCAUUCAAAGGGUAAUCCUGAAGAUUUCGGAUAGUGAAAAAGUAGACAAAUCUAUCUUACUUCUCAAUGAGAAAAUAUAUAACAAAACUACUCCUAAUAUAAAUU
Portunus trituberculatus (swimming crab) is the source of this 978-nucleotide long non-coding RNA. RefSeq lists it as uncharacterized. NCBI's taxonomy places the organism in Eukaryota, Metazoa, Arthropoda, Malacostraca, Decapoda, Portunidae. The record is from RefSeq and is a predicted model, not a curated record. The transcript has 5 exons.